GAUGAACGCUAGCGGCAGGCCUAACACAUGCAAGUCGAGGGAGAAGCCCUUUCGGGGGUGGAAACCGGCGCACGGGUGCGUAACGCGUAUGCAACCUACCUUUCACAGGGGGAUAGUCCGAAGAAAUCUGGAUUAAUACCCCAUAAUAUUAUUGGAUGGCAUCAUUUGAUAAUUAAAACUGCGGUGGUGAAAGAUGGGCAUGCGUCCUAUUAGCUAGUUGGAGUGGUAACGGCACCCCAAGGCUACGAUAGGUAGGGGUCCUGAGAGGGAGAUCCCCCACACUGGUACUGAGACAGGGACCAGACUCCUACGGGAGGCAGCAGUGAGGAAUAUUGGUCAAUGGUCGGAAGACUGAACCAGCCAUGCCGCGUGCAGGAAGAAUGCCUUAUGGGUUGUAAACUGCUUUUAUAUGGGAAGAAUAAGGCGUACGUGUACGUUGAUGACGUACCAUAUGAAUAAAGCUUCGCA
This 468-nucleotide ribosomal RNA is filed under the name Capnocytophaga gingivalis. RNAcentral describes it as "bacterial SSU rRNA". It matches the Rfam family "Bacterial small subunit ribosomal RNA", at positions 28 to 498 of the family's 1533-position model. The record is from RNAcentral. Lineage: Bacteria; Pseudomonadati; Bacteroidota; Flavobacteriia; Flavobacteriales; Flavobacteriaceae.